GACGAACGCUGGCGGCGCGCUUAACACAUGCAAGUCGAACGGAAAGGCCUGCUUUCCCUUGUGGAUUGCGGGUACUCGAGUGGCGAACGGGUGAGUAACACGUGAGUGAUCUGCCCCCAACUUGGGUAUAAGCCUGGGAAACUGGGUCUAAUUCCCGAUAGGACUGUAGGGUGGUGCCUGUGGUGGAAAACGAUUUUCUAGUGGUUGGGGAUGAGCUCGCGGCCUAUCAGCUUGUUGGUGGGGUAAUGGCCUACCAAGGCGGCGACGGGUAGCCGGCCUGAGAGGGUGGACGGCCACAUUGGGACUGAGAUACGGCCCAGACUCCUACGGGAGGCAGCAGUGGGGAAUAUUGCACAAUGGGCGGAAGCCUGAUGCAGCGACGCCGCGUGGGGGAUGACGGCCUUCGGGUUGUAAACUCCUUUCGACCGCGAGGAAGCCACCUGGUUGGAAGGGUGGUGACGGUAGUGGUAGAAGAAGCACCGGCUAACUACGUG
RNAcentral lists this ribosomal RNA (494 nucleotides) under uncultured bacterium. RNAcentral's name for it is "partial 16S ribosomal RNA". It matches the Rfam family "Bacterial small subunit ribosomal RNA", at positions 28 to 507 of the family's 1533-position model. The record is from RNAcentral.